Molecule: ribosomal RNA, 333 nt
Filed under: uncultured Planctomycetota bacterium
Lineage: Bacteria; Pseudomonadati; Planctomycetota
Description: bacterial SSU rRNA
Rfam family: Bacterial small subunit ribosomal RNA
Source: RNAcentral
AACGAACGUUGGCGGCGUGGAUUAGGCAUGCAAGUCGAACGAAGCUAGCCUGUGCAGCAAUGCACGGGCUAGACUGAGUGGCGAAAGGGGCAGUAAGGCGUGGGUAACCUACCCUGGGGACCGGGAUAGCCGUUCUAACGGACGGGUAAUACCGGGCGAUGUAGCUGGAGGGCAUCCACUGGCUACCAAAUGAAUUUCGCCCUGGGAGGGGCUCACGUGGUAUUAGCUAGUUGGUGAGGUAACGGCUCACCAAGGCUGAGAUGCCUAGCUGGUGUGAGAGCACGACCAGCGCCACUGGCACUGAGACACUGGCCAGACUCCUACGGGAGGCAG